UACAGCUGGAGAAGAGAGUGAGCGUCAGCUGGGCGAGAAAUUACUUUCAUGGUUAAUCCGUACAAAGACUUGGUCAGCAACGGUCUCGCUUCUCUUUUUUCUCUUCUGGCUAUGUGUCACCGUUAGGUUUCUAGAUCUUGAUCUCCAAAUUUAAUUUUUGAUGGUUGGGCUUAUCAGUGGAGGUUCAUCCGGCUGCUUGUCUAUCGUGGAUCUUCUCUUUCCGAUAUAGUUUCCUACUCUCGAUUUUUUUGGUGUUCUUUGAGUCUUUGGUUUAAAUCUCGUUUCAUGGACUUUUUGCAUUCACUGAUAAUUUAUUUGGUUGUUUUUGCUUCUUGUGUUAGUAUUAUUGUGGUUGGAUUCUUAUCUCUGCUUGCUUCAGGAAUCGGGAUAGUUCAUGA
This is a long non-coding RNA of Brassica oleracea var. oleracea, 398 nucleotides long. RefSeq lists it as uncharacterized. The record is from RefSeq and is a predicted model, not a curated record. Lineage: Eukaryota; Viridiplantae; Streptophyta; Magnoliopsida; Brassicales; Brassicaceae. The transcript has 2 exons.